Molecule: ribosomal RNA, 406 nt
Filed under: Escherichia coli
Lineage: Bacteria; Pseudomonadati; Pseudomonadota; Gammaproteobacteria; Enterobacterales; Enterobacteriaceae
Also listed under: 1 other name
Description: bacterial SSU rRNA
Rfam family: Bacterial small subunit ribosomal RNA
Source: RNAcentral
CUGAGAGGAUGACCAGCCACACUGGAACUGAGACACGGUCCAGACUCCUACGGGAGGCAGCAGUGGGGAAUAUUGCACAAUGGGCGCAAGCCUGAUGCAGCCAUGCCGCGUGUAUGAAGAAGGCCUUCGGGUUGUAAAGUACUUUCAGCGGGGAGGAAGGGAGUAAAGUUAAUACCUUUGCUCAUUGACGUUACCCGCAGAAGAAGCACCGGCUAACUCCGUGCCAGCAGCCGCGGUAAUACGGAGGGUGCAAGCGUUAAUCGGAAUUACUGGGCGUAAAGCGCACGCAGGCGGUUUGUUAAGUCAGAUGUGAAAUCCCCGGGCUCAACCUGGGAACUGCAUCUGAUACUGGCAAGCUUGAGUCUCGUAGAGGGGGGUAGAAUUCCAGGUGUAGCGGUGAAAUGCG